AGUUCUACAGCACUGGUGAAGAAACUGCAUCCAGGUGUUAGACAGUCCUAAAGGACAGAAGAAAGAAAACCAGAAAGAGAGAAAGCUCAGGAAUCCAGGUGAAUAUCAGCCAUUUCAUUUGCUCCACUCUGCUCUUCUGAGUUCCAUCAAUGGACGUUCAGUAAGGUUAAUUGGCACCUGAAGGUAUGG
Coturnix japonica (Japanese quail) is the source of this 189-nucleotide non-coding RNA. Lineage: Eukaryota; Metazoa; Chordata; Aves; Galliformes; Phasianidae. The record is from RefSeq and is a predicted model, not a curated record.